Molecule: ribosomal RNA, 208 nt
Filed under: uncultured Desulfocapsa sp.
Lineage: Bacteria; Pseudomonadati; Thermodesulfobacteriota; Desulfobulbia; Desulfobulbales; Desulfocapsaceae
Description: partial 16S ribosomal RNA
Rfam family: Bacterial small subunit ribosomal RNA
Source: RNAcentral
UGACGUCAAGUCCUCAUGGCCUUUAUGACCAGGGCGUACACACGUACUACAAUGGCCGGUACAAAGGGCAGCGACACAGCGAUGUGAAGCGAAUCCCGAAAAGCCGGUCUCAGUCCGGAUUGGAGUCUGCAACUCGACUCCAUGAAGGUUGGAAUCGCUAGUAAUCGCGGAUCAGCACGCCGCGGUGAAUAACGUUCCCGGGCCCGUU